UCCCUGGUGGUCCAGUGGUUAAGACACCACAUGUCCACUGUAGAGGGCACAGGUUCAAUCCCUGGUCAAGGAA
This 73-nucleotide transfer RNA is filed under the name Bos taurus (domestic cattle). It matches the Rfam family "tRNA". Rfam says of the family: Transfer RNA (tRNA) molecules are approximately 80 nucleotides in length. The record is from Rfam by way of RNAcentral. Lineage: Eukaryota; Metazoa; Chordata; Mammalia; Artiodactyla; Bovidae. RNAcentral also lists the same sequence under 5 other names.